AUUGAACGCUGGCGGCAUGCUUUACACAUGCAAGUCGAACGGCAGCGCGGGCUUCGGCCUGGCGGCGAGUGGCGAACGGGUGAGUAAUACAUCGGAACGUGCCCAGUAGUGGGGGAUAGCUCGGCGAAAGCCGGAUUAAUACCGCAUACGACCUGAAGGUGAAAGCGGGGGAUCUUCGGACCUCGCGCUAUUGGAGCGGCCGAUGGCAGAUUAGCUAGUUGGUGGGGUAAAGGCCUACCAAGGCGACGAUCUGUAGCUGGUCUGAGAGGACGACCAGCCACACUGGGACUGAGACACGGCCCAGACUCCUACGGGAGGCAGCAGUGGGGAAUUUUGGACAAUGGGCGAAAGCCUGAUCCAGCAAUGCCGCGUGUGUGAUGAAGGCCUUCGGGUUGUAAAGCACUUUUGGCGGGAACGAAAAGGACUGUGCCAAUACCACGGUUCGAUGACGGUACCCGCAGAAUAAGCACCGGCUAACUACGUG
This 484-nucleotide ribosomal RNA is filed under the name uncultured bacterium. Its description in RNAcentral is "partial 16S ribosomal RNA". It matches the Rfam family "Bacterial small subunit ribosomal RNA", at positions 29 to 507 of the family's 1533-position model. The record is from RNAcentral.